AAUCUUAUUUUAAUUACCAGUAAAGUACUAUUCAUUUAUAAUAGUAUUUACAAAUAUAAUUACAAAUAAAUAUUAUAAAAUGUAAAACAGUCAAUCAAUAUCAUUCUUAAUAAUUUAAUACAUGUAACGAAACGCUCUGCUAACGGUACCGAAUAAAAAGAUAACCGCGCAUCGCUCGCGCCCGGCUACCCUCGCAUUGUCAAAUAUUAGUAGGAGACUCCACGACUCCGCGACGUCACAUUCCAACCGCCACCGACGCAACAACUGGUCGAGCUCUGAUUUUUAUAAAUCCUCGUUUAAAUAGUGGAUAAUAUAUUUAUUUUAUUUGCCUGAGUGCUGCAAUAAACUUAUAAGUGAUAAUUACAUAGUACUAAAUAAUACCUAGUUAUUCCGUGCAGCAGAAACCCCUAAAUUUGGGGAACUACGUUCGGGCUAAAUCCCUAACCGUCGGUCGGCCGACCAAGAAGAAUAUAUACCUGCUAAUCACCCCCGUGAAGAAGGUCAUCCCAGCACAAAUCCCACGUACACACGGCUGGAGAUACCAUUCCGAGGGAAGUGCGGUCAGGUGUUAGAUUUGACGGAAUCGAACUUAUUUGGCCCGGUAUUUUUUUAAAUUAAUAAACUUAUUUUUUUUAACUGGA
Molecule: long non-coding RNA, 641 nt
Organism: Plutella xylostella (diamondback moth)
Lineage: Eukaryota; Metazoa; Arthropoda; Insecta; Lepidoptera; Plutellidae
Source: RefSeq, a predicted model, not a curated record